This 482-nucleotide ribosomal RNA is filed under the name uncultured bacterium. RNAcentral's name for it is "partial 16S ribosomal RNA". It matches the Rfam family "Bacterial small subunit ribosomal RNA", at positions 30 to 507 of the family's 1533-position model. The record is from RNAcentral.
AUUGAACGCUGGCGGCAUGCUUUACACAUGCGAGUCGAACGGUAACAGGCCGCAAGGUGCUGACGAGUGGCGAACGGGUGAGUAAUGCAUCGGAACGUGCCCAGUCGUGGGGGAUAACUACUCGAAGGAGUAGCUAAUACCGCAUACGAUCUAUGGAUGAAAGCGGGGGACCGUAAGGCCUCGCGCGAUUGGAGCGGCCGAUGUCAGAUUAGGUAGUUGGUGGGGUAAAGGCUCACCAAGCCAACGAUCUGUAGCUGGUCUGAGAGGACGACCAGCCACACUGGGACUGAGCAACGGCCCAGACUCCUACGGGAGGCAGCAGUGGGGAAUUUUGGACAAUGGGCGCAAGCCUGAUCCAGCAAUGCCGCGUGCAGGAAGAAGGCCUUCGGGUUGUAAACUGCUUUUGUACGGAACGAAACGGCUCUGGUUAAUACCCGGGGCUAAUGACGGUACCGUAAGAAUAAGCACCGGCUAACUACGUG